Molecule: ribosomal RNA, 465 nt
Filed under: uncultured bacterium
Lineage: Bacteria
Description: bacterial SSU rRNA
Rfam family: Bacterial small subunit ribosomal RNA
Source: RNAcentral
GGGCCCGCACAAGCGGUGGAGCAUGUGGUUCAAUUCGACGCAACGCGAAGAACCUUACCUGGGCUAGACAACGGCGGACCGUCCUAGAAAUAGGACUUUCCCUUCGGGGACUGCCGGUUCAGGUGCUGCAUGGCUGUCGUCAGCUCGUGCCGUGAGGUGUUGGGUUAAGUCCCGCAACGAGCGCAACCCUCGUCCUUAGUUGCCACCAUUCAGUUGGGCACUCUAAGGAGACUGCCGGCGUUAAGCCGGAGGAAGGUGGGGACGACGUCAAGUCAUCAUGGCCCUUAUGUCCAGGGCCACACACGUGCUACAAUGGGCGGUACAAAGGGUCGCAAACCCGCGAGGGGGAGCCAAUCCCAAAAAGCCGCUCUCAGUUCGGAUUGGAGUCUGCAACUCGACUCCAUGAAGUUGGAAUCGCUAGUAAUCGCGGAUCAGCACGCCGCGGUGAAUACGUUCCCGGGCCUU